Molecule: ribosomal RNA, 464 nt
Filed under: Vreelandella stevensii
Lineage: Bacteria; Pseudomonadati; Pseudomonadota; Gammaproteobacteria; Oceanospirillales; Halomonadaceae
Description: partial 16S ribosomal RNA
Rfam family: Bacterial small subunit ribosomal RNA
Source: RNAcentral
CCUACGGGCGGCUGCAGUGGGGAAUAUUGGACAAUGGGGGGAACCCUGAUCCAGCCAUGCCGCGUGUGUGAAGAAGGCCCUCGGGUUGUAAAGCACUUUCAGUGAGGAAGAACGCCUGGUGGUUAAUACCCAUCAGGAAAGACAUCACUCACAGAAGAAGCACCGGCUAACUCCGUGCCAGCAGCCGCGGUAAUACGGAGGGUGCGAGCGUUAAUCGGAAUUACUGGGCGUAAAGCGCGCGUAGGUGGCUUGAUAAGCCGGUUGUGAAAGCCCCGGGCUCAACCUGGGAACGGCAUCCGGAACUGUCAAGCUAGAGUGCAGGAGAGGAAGGUAGAAUUCCCGGUGUAGCGGUGAAAUGCGUAGAGAUCGGGAGGAAUACCAGUGGCGAAGGCGGCCUUCUGGACUGACACUGACACUGAGGUGCGAAAGCGUGGGUAGCAAACAGGAUUAGAUACCCGUGUAGC